AUGGUUAAGUUAGAAAGGGCGCACGGUGAAUGCCUUGGCACUAGGAGCCGAUGAAGGACGGGACUAACACCGAUAUGCUUCGGGGAGCUGUAAGUGAGCUUUGAUCCGGAGAUUUCCGAAUGGGGAAACCCACUGUUCGUAAUGGAACAGUAUCUUUAUCUGAAUACAUAGGAUAUUGAAGGCAGACCCGGGGAACUGAAACAUCUAAGUACCCGGAGGAAGAGAAAGCAAAUGCGAUUUCCUGAGUAGCGGCGAGCGAAACGGAAUUAGCCCAAACCAAGAGGCUUGCCUCUUGGGGUUGUAGGACACUCUAUACGGAGUUACAAAGGAACGAAGUAAAUGAAGCGACCUGGAAAGGUCCGUCGAAGAAGGUAACAACCCUGUAGUUGAAACUUCGUUCCCUCUUGAGUGGAUCCUGAGUACGGCGGAACACGUGAAAUUCCGUCGGAAGCUGGGAGGACCAUCUCCCAAGGCUAAAUACUACCUAGUGACCGAUAGUGAACCAGUACCGUGAGGGAAAGGUGAAAAGCACCCCGGAAGGGGAGUGAAAGAGAUCCUGAAACCGUGUGCCUACAAGUAGUCAGAGCCCGUUAACGGGUGAUGGCGUGCCUUUUGUAGAAUGAACCGGCGAGUUACGAUCCCAUGCAAGGUUAAGCCGAUAAGGCGGAGCCGUAGCGAAAGCGAGUCUGAAUAGGGCGUUUAGUAUGUGGUUGUAGACCCGAAACCAGGUGAUCUACCCAUGUCCAGGGUGAAGUUCAGGUAACACUGAAUGGAGGCCCGAACCCACGCACGUUGAAAAGUGCGGGGAUGAGGUGUGGGUAGCGGAGAAAUUCCAAUCGAACCUGGAGAUAGCUGGUUCUCUCCGAAAUAGCUUUAGGGCUAGCCUCAUGUUGUGAGAGUCUUGGAGGUAGAGCACUGAUUGGACUAGGGGCCCCCAACGGGUUACCGAAUUCAGUCAAACUCCGAAUGCCAAAGACUUAUCCAUGGGAGUCAGACUGCGAGUGAUAAGAUCCGUAGUCAAAAGGGAAACAGCCCAGACCACCAGCUAAGGUCCCCAAGUAUACGUUAAGUGGAAAAGGAUGUGGAGUUGCUUAGACAACCAGGAUGUUGGCUUAGAAGCAGCCACCAUUUAAAGAGUGCGUAAUAGCUCACUGGUCGAGUGACUCUGCGCCGAAAAUGUACCGGGGCUAAACGUAUCACCGAAGCUGUGGAUUGACAUCUUUGAUGUCAGUGGUAGGAGAGCGUUCUAAGUGCUGUGAAGUCAGACCGUAAGGACUGGUGGAGCGCUUAGAAGUGAGAAUGCCGGUAUGAGUAGCGAAAGACAAGUGAGAAUCUUGUCCACCGAAUGCCUAAGGUUUCCUGAGGAAGGCUCGUCCGCUCAGGGUUAGUCGGGACCUAAGCCGAGGCUGAAAAGCGUAGGCGAUGGCCAACAGGUUGAUAUUCCUGUACCACCUCCCCGCCGUUUGAGUAAUGGGGGGACGCAGUAGGAUAGGGUAAGCGCGCUGCUGGAUAUGCGCGUUCAAGCAGUUAGGCUGAUGAGUAGGCAAAUCCGCUCAUCAUAAAGGCUGAGCUGUGAUGACGAGGGAAUUAUAGUACCGAAGUUCCUGAUUCCACACUGCCAAGAAAAGCCUCUAGCGAGGCGGGAGGUGCCCGUACCGCAAACCGACACAGGUAGGCGAGGAGAGAAUCCUAAGGUGAUCGAGAGAACUCUCGUUAAGGAACUCGGCAAAAUGACCCCGUAACUUCGGGAGAAGGGGUGCUCUGGUAGGGUGUAUAGCCCGAGAGAGCCGCAGUGAAUAGGCCCAGGCGACUGUUUAGCAAAAACACAGGUCUCUGCGAAGCCGCAAGGCGAAGUAUAGGGGCUGACGCCUGCCCGGUGCUGGAAGGUUAAGAGGAGGGGUUAUCCUUUGGGAGAAGCUCUGAAUCGAAGCCCCAGUAAACGGCGGCCGUAACUAUAACGGUCCUAAGGUAGCGAAAUUCCUUGUCGGGUAAGUUCCGACCCGCACGAAAGGCGUAACGAUCUGGGCACUGUCUCAACGAGAGACUCGGUGAAAUUAUAGUACCUGUGAAGAUGCAGGUUACCCGCGACAGGACGGAAAGACCCCGUGGAGCUUUACUGUAGCCUGAUAUUGAAUUUUGGUACAGCUUGUACAGGAUAGGUAGGAGCCUGAGAAGCCGGAGCGCUAGCUUCGGUGGAGGCGUCGGUGGGAUACUACCCUGGCUGUAUUGAAAUUCUAACCCGCGGCCCUGAUCGGGCCGGGAGACAGUGUCAGGUGGGCAGUUUGACUGGGGCGGUCGCCUCCUAAAAUGUAACGGAGGCGCCCAAAGGUUCCCUCAGAAUGGUUGGAAAUCAUUCGUAGAGUGUAAAGGCACAAGGGAGCUUGACUGCGAGACCUACAAGUCGAGCAGGGACGAAAGUCGGGCUUAGUGAUCCGGUGGUUCCGCAUGGAAGGGCCAUCGCUCAACGGAUAAAAGCUACCCCGGGGAUAACAGGCUUAUCUCCCCCAAGAGUCCACAUCGACGGGGAGGUUUGGCACCUCGAUGUCGGCUCAUCGCAUCCUGGGGCUGUAGUCGGUCCCAAGGGUUGGGCUGUUCGCCCAUUAAAGCGGUACGCGAGCUGGGUUCAGAACGUCGUGAGACAGUUCGGUCCCUAUCCGUCGUGGGCGUAGGAAAUUUGAGAGGAGCUGUCCUUAGUACGAGAGGACCGGGAUGGACACACCGCUGGUGUACCAGUUGUCUUGCCAAAGGCAUCGCUGGGUAGCUAUGUGUGGACGGGAUAAGUGCUGAAAGCAUCUAAGCAUGAAGCCCCCCUCAAGAUGAGAUUUCCCAUAGCGCAAGCUAGUAAGAUCCCUGAAAGAUGAUCAGGUUGAUAGGUCAGAGGUGGAAGCGUGGCGACAUGUGUAGCUGACUGAUACUAAUCGAUCGAGGACUUAACCAAAC
RNAcentral lists this ribosomal RNA (2940 nucleotides) under Priestia megaterium. Its description in RNAcentral is "23S ribosomal RNA". It matches the Rfam family "Bacterial large subunit ribosomal RNA". The record is from RNAcentral. Lineage: Bacteria; Bacillati; Bacillota; Bacilli; Caryophanales; Bacillaceae.